GAGUGAUGGCGGAUGGUCGCUGGGAGAGAUCCUGGAGGAAAGUCCGGACACCAUACGGCGGCAUACCGUGUACAAUACGCGGGAGGCAGGAAUGAAAAUUCCGGCCGACGGAAAGUGUCACAGAAAACAGACCACCUGCGCUCAAUACUUCGCAAGAAAUGUUGGCCGGAGGUAAGGGUGAAAAGGCGGGGUAAGAGCCCACCGCCCCGUGCGUGAGCACGGGGGCACGAAAAACCCUAUGCGGUGCAAGACAGAACAGGGGAAGAGGCCGCCGGCUUCAAUGAUUGACCAAUGGUCAGUCGGGACCCCGGGUAACGUCGCACCCGUCGCAAGACGGGCGGAAAACUCCGGUUCGCCGGAGAGUUCUGAGAGAAAUGACCAUCCAAGCUGGAGUAAUCCAGCCUGACAGAAUCCGGCUUACAGCCGUCACACUAUG
RNAcentral lists this RNase P RNA (436 nucleotides) under Verrucomicrobiota bacterium. RNAcentral's name for it is "Verrucomicrobia bacterium (freshwater metagenome) RNase P RNA component class A". It matches the Rfam family "Bacterial RNase P class A". Rfam says of the family: Ribonuclease P (RNase P) is a ubiquitous endoribonuclease, found in archaea, bacteria and eukarya as well as chloroplasts and mitochondria. The record is from RNAcentral. Lineage: Bacteria; Pseudomonadati; Verrucomicrobiota.